This 562-nucleotide ribosomal RNA is filed under the name Moniliella dehoogii. RNAcentral's name for it is "eukaryotic LSU rRNA". It matches the Rfam family "Eukaryotic large subunit ribosomal RNA", at positions 63 to 661 of the family's 3401-position model. Lineage: Eukaryota; Fungi; Basidiomycota; Moniliellomycetes; Moniliellales; Moniliellaceae. The record is from RNAcentral.
AACAACAUGGAUUCCCCUAGUAGCGGCGAGCGAAGCGGGAUGAGCCCAGAUUUGAAAGCUCCCGCCAGGGCGCAUUGUAAGCUGGAGACGUGCCUCGAGCGGCGCGGCUGGACGCCAAGUCUGCUGGAAAGCAGCAUCAGAGAGGGUGAGAAUCCCGUGCUUGGUCUGGCUGUGGCGCCGUGUUGUGGGGUGCGCUCGACGAGUCGCGUUUGUUUGGGAAUGCAGCGCAAAGCGGGUGGUAAACGCCAUCCAAGGCUAAAUACCGGGGAGAGACCGAUAGCGAACAAGUACCGUGAGGGAAAGAUGAAAAGCACUUUGGAAAGAGAGUUAAACAGUACGUGAAAUUGCCAAGAGGGAAGCGCUGGCAGUCAGUGCCGUAGCUGUGUCUCUCUGUGGAUGCAGUGGGGCCCGCAUCGGUUGCGUGUGGGGGAGAAGGCAGUGCGGAAGGUGGCUUACCUCGUGUGAGUGUUAUAGCCGUGCUGUGGAUGCCCUGCGUGCGACCGAGGACCGCUUUUCUUAGAGGAUGCGGGCUUAAUGGCUUUCAGCGGCCCGUCUUGAAACA